GGGCCCGCACAAGCAGCGGAGCAUGUGGUUUAAUUCGAAGCAACGCGAAGAACCUUACCUAGACUUGACAUCUCCUGAAUUAAUCGUAAUUGAUGAAAUCCCUUCGGGGACAGGAAGACAGGUGGUGCAUGGUUGUCGUCAGCUCGUGUCGUGAGAUGUUAGGUUAAGUCCUGCAACGAGCGCAACCCUUAUCAUUAGUUGCUAACAUUAAGUUGAGCACUCUAAUGAGACUGCCCGGGUUAACCGGGAGGAAGGUGGGGAUGACGUCAAAUCAUCAUGCCCCUUAUGUCUAGGGCUACACACGUGCUACAAUGGUGGGAACAAAGAGAUGCAAUACCGCAAGGUGGAGCCAAACUUCAAAACCCAUCCCAGUUCGGAUUGUAGGCUGAAACUCGCCUACAUGAAGCUGGAGUUGCUAGUAAUCGCGAAUCAGAAUGUCGCGGUGAAUACGUUCCCGGGCCUUGUACACACCGCCCGUCACACCAUGAGAGUCGGCAACACCCGAAGCCCGUGAGGUAACCUUUUGGAACCAGCGGUCGAAGGUGGGGUUGAUGAUUGGGGUGAAGUCGUAACAAGGUAGCCGUAGGAGAACCUGCGGCU
RNAcentral lists this ribosomal RNA (600 nucleotides) under uncultured Clostridium sp. Its description in RNAcentral is "bacterial SSU rRNA". It matches the Rfam family "Bacterial small subunit ribosomal RNA", at positions 917 to 1519 of the family's 1533-position model. Lineage: Bacteria; Bacillati; Bacillota; Clostridia; Eubacteriales; Clostridiaceae. The record is from RNAcentral.